AAUAACCGCGCCUCACGUAGUAGUCACGUUUAUUGUGGUCUAAAGCGUCCGUAGCUCGGUGUUGAUAAGUCUCUGGUGAAAUCCUACAUGAAACUGUCGGAAGUGCUGGAGAUACUAUCAGACUCGAGACCGGGAGAGGUCGGGAGUAUUUCACGGGUAAGGGUAAAAUCUUUUAAUCCGUGAAGGACCACCUGUGGCGAAGGC
RNAcentral lists this ribosomal RNA (204 nucleotides) under uncultured archaeon. Its description in RNAcentral is "partial 16S ribosomal RNA". It matches the Rfam family "Archaeal small subunit ribosomal RNA", at positions 472 to 673 of the family's 1478-position model. The record is from RNAcentral.